RNAcentral lists this ribosomal RNA (1060 nucleotides) under Vibrio harveyi. RNAcentral describes it as "bacterial SSU rRNA". It matches the Rfam family "Bacterial small subunit ribosomal RNA", at positions 130 to 1185 of the family's 1533-position model. Lineage: Bacteria; Pseudomonadati; Pseudomonadota; Gammaproteobacteria; Vibrionales; Vibrionaceae. The record is from RNAcentral.
CCUGAAGUGGGGGAUAACCAUUGGAAACGAUGGCUAAUACCGCAUAAUACCUACGGGUCAAAGAGGGGGACCUUCGGGCCUCUCGCGUCAGGAUAUGCCUAGGUGGGAUUAGCUAGUUGGUGAGGUAAUGGCUCACCAAGGCGACGAUCCCUAGCUGGUCUGAGAGGAUGAUCAGCCACACUGGAACUGAGACACGGUCCAGACUCCUACGGGAGGCAGCAGUGGGGGAAUAUUGCACAAUGGGCGCAAGCCUGAUGCAGCCAUGCCGCGUGUGUGAAGAAGGCCUUCGGGUUGUAAAGCACUUUCAGUCGUGAGGAAGGUGGUGUAGUUAAUAGCUGCAUUAUUUGACGUUAGCGACAGAAGAAGCACCGGCUAACUCCGUGCCAGCAGCCGCGGUAAUACGGAGGGUGCGAGCGUUAAUCGGAAUUACUGGGCGUAAAGCGCAUGCAGGUGGUUUGUUAAGUCAGAUGUGAAAGCCCGGGGCUCAACCUCGGAAUAGCAUUUGAAACUGGCAGACUAGAGUACUGUAGAGGGGGGUAGAAUUUCAGGUGUAGCGGUGAAAUGCGUAGAGAUCUGAAGGAAUACCGGUGGCGAAGGCGGCCCUCUGGACAGAUACUGACACUCAGAUGCGAAAGCGUGGGGAGCAAACAGGAUUAGAUACCCUGGUAGUCCACGCCGUAAACGAUGUCUACUUGGAGGUUGUGGCCUUGAGCCGUGGCUUUCGGAGCUAACGCGUUAAGUAGACCGCCUGGGGAGUACGGUCGCAAGAUUAAAGCUCAAAUGAAUUGACGGGGGCCCGCACAAGCGGUGGAGCAUGUGGUUUAAUUCGAUGCAACGCGAAGAACCUUACCUACUCUUGACAUCCAGAGAACUUUCCAGAGAUGGAUUGGUGCCUUCGGGAACUCUGAGACAGGUGCUGCAUGGCUGUCGUCAGCUCGUGUUGUGAAAUGUUGGGUUAAGUCCCGCAACGAGCGCAACCCUUAUCCUUGUUUGCCAGCACUUCGGGUGGGAACUCCAGGGAGACUGCCGGUGAUAAACCGGAGGAAGGUGGGGACGACGU